Cyprinus carpio carpio is the source of this 544-nucleotide long non-coding RNA. The record is from Ensembl. Lineage: Eukaryota; Metazoa; Chordata; Actinopteri; Cypriniformes; Cyprinidae.
GGACACACCUCUCAUGGCUACGAGGACUCUACGGCAAGUCAGAGCAUCCAGUUUGCAAGAGCGCGAAGAUGGCAAGAAGAGCGUUUGUUUUGCAGUGUAAACACACUGUUAAUGACUGCACUCGCCUUUUACUGUCUGAUAAUCCCGGGCCUGCUGUUUUUCAGUCAUCAUUAAACAGACUUCAAACCAUGCUGAGGAGCCUGGAAUGGGCAAAGGGGACUCUUCUACAUACUCAGGCAGCAGAUGAGAUCAUCCAUGAAGUAUCAGAUUUUAUUCAGGAGAUUCAAACUUCUGAACCAAGAGCACAGGAUGACAGCACUGUAUAUCGACCUCCACUGAUUCGUAGUGGAUCCAGAGGUGCACCAUCUUAUGUCAUUACACAGGAUCAGCUGUCAUUUUUGUUGUCUUGUGGCUUCACUGUAAAACAGAUUGCACAAAUUCUACACACCUCCAUAUCCACAGUCAAGCGACGUUUAAGGUAAGUUAUAUAAUAUAAUAACUAAUAUCCAUUGACUACACACAUUAUACCCUGUUCACAGGUGUA